This 434-nucleotide ribosomal RNA is filed under the name uncultured bacterium. Its description in RNAcentral is "partial 16S ribosomal RNA". It matches the Rfam family "Bacterial small subunit ribosomal RNA", at positions 27 to 507 of the family's 1533-position model. The record is from RNAcentral.
GAACGAACGCUGGCGGCAGGCCUAACACAUGCAAGUCGAGCGAGGACUUCGGUUCUAGCGGCGGACGGGUGAGUAACGCGUGGGAAUGUGCCCUUCUCUACGGAAUAGCCCUGGGAAACUGGGAGUAAUACCGUAUACGCCCUAUUGGGGAAAGAUUUAUCGGAGAAGGAUCAGCCCGCGUUGGAUUAGGUAGUUGGUGGGGUAAUGGCCUACCAAGCCGACGAUCCAUAGCUGGUUUGAGAGGAUGAUCAGCCACACUGGGACUGAGACACGGCCCAGACUCCUACGGGAGGCAGCAGUGGGGAAUCUUAGACAAUGGGGGCAACCCUGAUCUAGCCAUGCCGCGUGAGUGAUGAAGGCCUUAGGGUUGUAAAGCUCUUUCAGCUGGGAAGAUAAUGACGGUACCAGCAGAAGAAGCCCCGGCUAACUCCGUG